UGGGGAAUUUUGGACAAUGGGCGAAAGCCUGAUCCAGCAAUGCCGCGUGUGUGAAGAAGGCCUUCGGGUUGUAAAGCACUUUUGUCCGGAAAGAAAUCCUUGGCUCUAAUACAGUCGGGGGAUGACGGUACCGGAAGAAUAAGCACCGGCUAACUACGUGCCAGCAGCCGCGGUAAUACGUAGGGUGCAAGCGUUAAUCGGAAUUACUGGGCGUAAAGCGUGCGCAGGCGGUUUGCUAAGACCGAUGUGAAAUCCCCGGGCUCAACCUGGGAACUGUAUUGGUGACUGGCAGGCUAGAGUAUGGCAGAGGGGGGUAGAAUUCCACGUGUAGCAGUGAAAUGCGUAGAGAUGUGGAGGAAUACCGAUGGCGAAGGCAGCCCCCUGGGCCAAUACUGACGCUCAUGCACGAAAGCGUGGGGAGCAAACAGGAUUAGAUACCCUGGUAGUCCACGCCCUAAAACGAUGUCAACUAGUUGUUGGGGAUUCAUUUUCCUUAGUAACGUAGCUAACGCGUGAAGUUGACCGCCUGGGGAGUACGGUCGCAAGAUUAAAACUCAAAGGAAUUGACGGGGUCAUAGCUGUUUCCU
This 587-nucleotide ribosomal RNA is filed under the name uncultured bacterium. RNAcentral describes it as "partial 16S ribosomal RNA". It matches the Rfam family "Bacterial small subunit ribosomal RNA", at positions 355 to 1375 of the family's 1533-position model. The record is from RNAcentral.